Molecule: transfer RNA, 72 nt
Filed under: Marmota marmota marmota (Alpine marmot)
Lineage: Eukaryota; Metazoa; Chordata; Mammalia; Rodentia; Sciuridae
Also listed under: 1 other name
Rfam family: tRNA
About the family: Transfer RNA (tRNA) molecules are approximately 80 nucleotides in length. Their secondary structure includes four short double-helical elements and three loops (D, anti-codon, and T loops). Further hydrogen bonds mediate the characteristic L-shaped molecular structure. tRNAs have two regions of fundamental functional importance: the anti-codon, which is responsible for specific mRNA codon recognition, and the 3' end, to which the tRNAs corresponding amino acid is attached (by aminoacyl-tRNA synthetases). tRNAs cope with the degeneracy of the genetic code in two manners: having more than one tRNA (with a specific anti-codon) for a particular amino acid; and 'wobble' base-pairing, i.e. permitting non-standard base-pairing at the 3rd anti-codon position.
Source: Rfam by way of RNAcentral
UGGGAUGUAACUCAGUGAUAGAGUGCUUGCCUGGGAUGCAGGAGGUUUUGAGUUCAAUCCCCAGCAUGCCAA